RNAcentral lists this ribosomal RNA (253 nucleotides) under uncultured bacterium. RNAcentral describes it as "partial 16S ribosomal RNA". It matches the Rfam family "Bacterial small subunit ribosomal RNA", at positions 524 to 776 of the family's 1533-position model. The record is from RNAcentral.
UACGUAGGGUCCGAGCGUUGUCCGGAAUUAUUGGGCGUAAAGGGCGCGUAGGCGGCCUGUUAAGUCGGACGUGAAAUCCCUCGGCUCAACCGGGGAACUGCGUCCGAUACUGGCGGGCUUGAAUUCGGGAGAGGGAUGUGGAAUUCCAGGUGUAGCGGUGAAAUGCGUAGAUAUCUGGAGGAACACCGGUGGCGAAGGCGGCAUCCUGGACCGACAUUGACGCUGAGGCGCGAAAGCCAGGGGAGCAAACGGG